This 20-nucleotide small nuclear RNA is filed under the name Arabidopsis thaliana (thale cress). RNAcentral describes it as "snRNA_06624". Lineage: Eukaryota; Viridiplantae; Streptophyta; Magnoliopsida; Brassicales; Brassicaceae. The record is from RNAcentral.
GUCGCACCACGAGGCGCUGU